AGAGUUUGAUCAUGGCUCAGAAUCAACGCUGGCGGCGUGCCUAACACAUGCAAGUCGAACGAGAAAGUGGAGCAAUCCAUGAGUAAAGUGGCGACCGGGUGAGUAACACGUGACUAACCUACCCUCGAGUGGGGAAUAACUCCGGGAAACCGGGGCUAAUACCGCAUAACAUCCCGCUCACGCGGGAUCAAAGGAGCAAUUCGCUUGAGGAGGGGGUCGCGGCUGAUUAGCUAGUUGGUAGGGUAACGGCCUACCAAGGCAAAGAUCAGUAUCCGGCCUGAGAGGGCGCACGGACACACUGGAACUGAAACACGGUCCAGACUCCUACGGGAGGCAGCAGUGGGGAAUUUUGCGCAAUGGGGGAAACCCUGACGCAGCAACGCCGCGUGGAGGAUGAAGUCCCUUGGGAUGUAAACUCCUUUCGAUCGGGACGAUUACGACGGUACCGGAAGAAGAAGCCCCGGCUAACUUCGUGCCAGCCGCCGCGGUAAUAC
RNAcentral lists this ribosomal RNA (494 nucleotides) under uncultured bacterium. RNAcentral's name for it is "bacterial SSU rRNA". It matches the Rfam family "Bacterial small subunit ribosomal RNA", at positions 8 to 526 of the family's 1533-position model. The record is from RNAcentral.